Molecule: ribosomal RNA, 253 nt
Filed under: uncultured bacterium
Lineage: Bacteria
Description: partial 16S ribosomal RNA
Rfam family: Bacterial small subunit ribosomal RNA
Source: RNAcentral
UACAGAGGUCCCAAGCGUUGUUCGGAUUCACUGGGCGUAAAGGGUGCGUAGGUGGUGAGGUAAGUCGGAUGUGAAAGCUCGGAGCUCAACUCCGAAAUGGCAUUGGAAACUACCUUGCUGGAGGUUUGGAGGGGGGACUGGAAUACUUGGUGUAGCAGUGAAAUGCGUAGAUAUCAAGUGGAACACCAGUGGCGAAGGCGAGUCCCUGGACAAAACCUGACACUGAGGCACGAAAGCUAGGGGAGCAAACAGG